GUAACCUUCGGGAGCCAGCCGUCUAAGGUGGGACAGAUGAUUAGGGUGAAGUCGUAACAAGGUAGCCGUAGGAGAACCUGCGGCUGGAUCACCUCCUUUCUAAGGAA
Molecule: ribosomal RNA, 107 nt
Filed under: Weissella confusa
Lineage: Bacteria; Bacillati; Bacillota; Bacilli; Lactobacillales; Lactobacillaceae
Also listed under: 1 other name
Description: partial 16S ribosomal RNA
Rfam family: Bacterial small subunit ribosomal RNA
Source: RNAcentral